Molecule: small nucleolar RNA, 84 nt
Organism: Lagopus muta (rock ptarmigan)
Lineage: Eukaryota; Metazoa; Chordata; Aves; Galliformes; Phasianidae
Source: RefSeq, a predicted model, not a curated record
UGCCGCUGAUGACCUUGCCAUGCUAAUACGGACCGGCGUGGGGCCGGGCUGAGUUCAACCAUUCUCAAGUCGUUUCUGAGGCAC